AUCCUGGCUCAUGACGAUCGCUGGCGGCGUGCUUAAUACAUGCAAGUCUACGAGAAAGUUAGCUUCGGCUAGCUAGUAAAGUGGCGAACGGGUGAGUAACGCGUAGGUAACCUGCCUAUAGAUUUGGGAUAACCCUGCUAACGCAGAGCUAAUACCGAAUAAAGCGUUUUUUUCGCAUGGAAGAAACGUUAAAGAAGGGGAUUCGUAAGAACCUUUCGUCUAUAGAUGGACCUGCGUUCCAUUAGUUUGUUGGUGAGGUAACGGCUCACCAAGGCGAUGAUGGAUAGCCGACCUGAGAGGGUGAUCGGCCACACUGGGACUGAGAUACGGCCCAGACUCCUACGGGAGGCAGCAGUAGGGAAUAUUGCGCAAUGGCCGAAAGGCUGACGCAGCAACGCCGCGUGACUGAUGAAGCUCUAAGGAGUGUAAAGGUCUGUUAGGAGGGAAGAAUUGUUCGGAUGUAAAUAACGUUCGAAUCUGACGGUACCUCCAGAGAAAGCUCCGGCCAACUCCGUGCCAGCAGCCGCGGUAAUACGGGGGGAGCAAGCGUUGUCCGGAAUUACUGGGCGUAAAGGGCGCGUAGGCGGAUUUGUAAGUCAAAAGUGAAAUCUAUCGGCUCAACCGAUAAACGGCUUCUGAAACUACAAGUCUUGAGUAAGGCAGAGGAAAGUGGAAUUCCUGGUGUAGCGGUGAAAUGUGUAGAUAUCAGGAAGAACACCAGUUGCGAAGGCGGCUUUCUGGGCCUUUACUGACGCUGAGGCGCGAAAGCGUGGGGAGCGAACAGGAUUAGAUACCCUGGUAGCCCACGCCCUAAACUAUGUGCACUAGGUGUUGGAGGUUCGACCCCUUCAGUGCCGCAGCAAACGCAAUAAGUGCACCGCCUGGGGAGUACGAUCGCAAGGUUGAAACUCAAAGGAAUUGACGGGGGCCCGCACAAGCGGUGGAGCAUGUGGUUUAAUUCGAUCUACGCGAAGAACCUUACCGGGGUUUGACAUACAGUUGAAAUCCCGAGAAAUCGGGACCCCUUCGGGUAACUGUACAGGUGCUGCAUGGCUGUCGUCAGCUCGUGUCGUGAGAUGUUGGGUUAAGUCCCGCAACGAGCGCAACCCCUGUCCUUAGUUGCCAGCAGGUAAAGCUGGGGACUCUAGGGAGACUGCCGUUAAUAAAACGGAGGAAGGUGGGGAUGACGUCAAGUCAUCAUGGCCUUUAUACCCCGGGCCACACACGUGCUACAAUGGCCGGUACAGCGGGAAGCGAUGUCGUAAGGCGGAGCAAAUCCCUUAAAACCGGUCUCAGUUCGGAUUGAAGUCUGCAACUCGACUUCAUGAAGUUGGAAUCGCUAGUAAUCGCGGAUCAGAAUGCCGCGGUGAAUACGUUCCCGGGCCUUGUACACACCGCCCGUCACGCCAUGGAAGUUGGUAGUACCCGAAGUCGUCACGCUAACCUUUCGAGGAAGCAGACGCCGAAGGUAAGACCGAUGACUAGGGCGAAGUCGUAACAAGGUA
This 1505-nucleotide ribosomal RNA is filed under the name metagenome. Its description in RNAcentral is "bacterial SSU rRNA". It matches the Rfam family "Bacterial small subunit ribosomal RNA". The record is from RNAcentral.